Molecule: ribosomal RNA, 589 nt
Filed under: Denitratisoma sp. enrichment culture
Lineage: Bacteria; Pseudomonadati; Pseudomonadota; Betaproteobacteria; Nitrosomonadales; Sterolibacteriaceae
Description: bacterial SSU rRNA
Rfam family: Bacterial small subunit ribosomal RNA
Source: RNAcentral
CCUACGGGAGGCAGCAGUGGGGAAUUUUGGACAAUGGGGGCAACCCUGAUCCAGCCAUGCCGCGUGAGUGAAGAAGGCCUUCGGGUUGUAAAGCUCUUUCGGCCGGGAAGAAAUCGCUCAAGCUAAUACCUUGGGUGGAUGACGGUACCGGAAGAAGAAGCACCGGCUAACUACGUGCCAGCAGCCGCGGUAAUACGUAGGGUGCGAGCGUUAAUCGGAAUUACUGGGCGUAAAGCGUGCGCAGGCGGUUUCGUAAGACAGAUGUGAAAUCCCCGGGCUUAACCUGGGAACUGCGUUUGUGACUGCGAGACUUGAGUGCGGCAGAGGGGGGUGGAAUUCCACGUGUAGCAGUGAAAUGCGUAGAGAUGUGGAGGAACACCGAUGGCGAAGGCAGCCCCCUGGGUCGACACUGACGCUCAUGCACGAAAGCGUGGGGAGCAAACAGGAUUAGAUACCCUGGUAGUCCACGCCCUAAACAAUGCGAACUAGGUGUUGGGGAAGGAGACUUCUUUAGUACCGUAGCUAACGCGUGAAGUUCGCCGCCUGGGGAGUACGGUCGCAAGAUUAAAACUCAAAGGAAUUGACGGGG